GUGGGUGUAGCUCAGUUGGUUAGAGCGCUAGGUUGUGGCCCUGGAGGUCGUGGGUUCAAAUCCCAUCACCCACC
This 74-nucleotide transfer RNA is filed under the name Candidatus Zixiibacteriota bacterium. RNAcentral describes it as "tRNA-His". It matches the Rfam family "tRNA". From Rfam's summary of the family: Transfer RNA (tRNA) molecules are approximately 80 nucleotides in length. Their secondary structure includes four short double-helical elements and three loops (D, anti-codon, and T loops). Lineage: Bacteria; Pseudomonadati; Candidatus Zixiibacteriota. The record is from RNAcentral.